Molecule: ribosomal RNA, 509 nt
Filed under: uncultured bacterium
Lineage: Bacteria
Description: bacterial SSU rRNA
Rfam family: Bacterial small subunit ribosomal RNA
Source: RNAcentral
AUGGCUCAGGAUGAACGCUAGCUACAGGCUUAACACAUGCAAGUCGAGGGGCAGCAUUGAGAUAGCUUGCUAUUCAGAUGGCGACCGGCGCACGGGUGAGUAACGCGUAUCCAACCUUCCCCUUAGUAGGGCAUAGCCCGUAGAAAUGCGGAUUAAUACCCUAUGUUGUAUAUUGAGGACAUCUGAUUUAUACCAAAGGUUCACCGCUAAGGGAUGGGGAUGCGUCUGAUUAGGUUGUUGGCGGGGUAACGGCCCACCAAGCCUACGAUCAGUAGGGGUUCUGAGAGGAAGGUCCCCCACAUUGGAACUGAGACACGGUCCAAACUCCUACGGGAGGCAGCAGUGAGGAAUAUUGGUCAAUGGACGAGAGUCUGAACCAGCCAAGUAGCGUGCAGGAUGACGGCCCUAUGGGUUGUAAACUGCUUUUAUAUAGGGAUAAAGUCACCCACGUGUGGGUGUUUGUAGGUACUAUAUGAAUAAGGACCGGCUAAUUCCGUGCCAGCAGCGGC